GAUGAACGCUGGCGGCGUGCCUAAUACAUGCAAGUCGAACGCUGGAAAUCUAGCUUGCUAGAUUGAAGGAGUGGCGAACGGGUGAGUAAUACAUAAGCAACCUACCCACGAAGACUGGGAUAAUCUCUGGAAACGGGGACUAAUACCGGAUAGGUAAUCGGAAGGCAUCUUCUGAUUAUUAAAGGUUAAAAACACUGGUGGAUGGGCUUAUGGCGCAUUAGUUAGUUGGUGAGGUAACGGCCCACCAAGACGAUGAUGCGUAGCCGGCCUGAGAGGGUGAACGGCCACAUUGGGACUGAGACACGGCCCAGACUCCUACGGGAGGCAGCAGUAGGGAAUUUUCAGCAAUGGGGGAAACCCUGACCGAGCAACGCCGCGUGAGUGAGGACGGCCUUCGGGUUGUAAAGCUCUGUUGUAAGGGAAGAACGGUAGAUAGAGAAUAUCUAAAUGACGGUACCUUACCAGAAAGCCACGGCUAACUACGUG
RNAcentral lists this ribosomal RNA (486 nucleotides) under uncultured bacterium. Its description in RNAcentral is "partial 16S ribosomal RNA". It matches the Rfam family "Bacterial small subunit ribosomal RNA", at positions 28 to 507 of the family's 1533-position model. The record is from RNAcentral.